This is a long non-coding RNA of Trifolium pratense (red clover), 1679 nucleotides long. RefSeq lists it as uncharacterized. NCBI's taxonomy places the organism in Eukaryota, Viridiplantae, Streptophyta, Magnoliopsida, Fabales, Fabaceae. The record is from RefSeq and is a predicted model, not a curated record. The transcript has 5 exons.
CAGCAGAAUAGCAGAGUUAUGUCGUUUUCAUCAUACAUGUGCUCUCUGAAUUCAUCUUCUCCUUUCGGCUGUGAACUUUGAAACAAUUUUCAAAUCAAAAGUCUUCAAUCCCUUAUCCAUGCAACAUCUACUUCUCACACUGUCAAAGCUUAAGAAAUUCCAUUUUAAUCCCUUAUCUCUCUUCAAAUACUCCUCUAAUUUGGGAAUUUUUUCUCAUGUCUUUACAAGAUGAAAAACCCAAUGUUGAAUAAUACCCAUUUUAUUGAUUCAUUCUCUGUUGAUUUUGCAGGUUUGGUCAAGGCGCAUGCAGUUUGGAUUUCCCUCCAAAGGGAUAAGAUCAGAUGAAUAGGUAAAAGGUAACUUUGAAUUUCAAUUUCAGAUUCUCCCGCCUUAGGGUUUAAUCGAUUUAUUCAUUUUAUAAUUGAAAUAGGGUUAGAGGUUUUGUCUAUUUAAGCAGGUAUGUAGUUUAUUGUCUCCGCUGCACCAAACAAACUAUAUUAAGCAGGAGAUUUAGAAGAAAGGAACAUGAGUGGCGGCCAUGGAGUUGUUCUUAAGAAAGGAAUAUAUUUUAUUUUUAUUUUUCAUUUUCGAUUUCUAUUUUAUAUUUUUGCCUAAUUUGUUUUUGAAUUGCAAUUUUUAUUUCUGAUUUUUGCAUUUUCCUCUCAUUUUUUCCUUUCUUCUUUCCAGGUAACUCUAGAGGUUUUUGGUUGAUGCUGUGAAGAGAAAUGGUUUAAAGCACAACCCUAUGUUUAUACUCAUUUUGAGAUGCAAUUUUAUUUUAUUUUCUUAAGUAGCUUAGUAGUAUGGCGAUUAGUCAUUUUCCUAUUGACCGUUGGGUAGUGCUUUUGGUGUCAAGAGCAGUUUCAAUGAAAACUUGCUGGUUUACGUAAGUAAAAUUUGAGAUUGAAAGCAACAUCUACAAUUUAUGUGCAUUAUUUUAUUCAAACAUUAGUUGCACAAUGGAAAUUUUGAAUGGACUGUGUAGUAGCAAACUUCUCACAACCCUGCCUCUGUUCACUCACACUGAUGACUCUAGAUUUCUAUUUGUUAACCUUUCGAAUUUUGUAUUUUUCUUCUUCCAAACCCUAAUUUUAGUUUUUGUUUACCCAUUUAUUUUCCUUUCUCUUCAUCUCACUAUUUCAAAUUUCUGACCAUAUUCGAUUAAUGACACGUGAAGGAGCUUUUGACAUCAACAAAUUGAUAAUUUCACCGCUAAAUCCUAUUCAGAUGAAGCUAAACAAAAUUUUAUUUUAUGACUUUUAUCUUCCACUUAAAGAGACACUACAAUGGAUACAUUAAGAAGGAAAAGCAAGUACAACAGUGGAAAUAGGAUCAGCAUUGUCACUGCUAGGCUCUAUACCUAUUGAAGGGUAUCCUUCGCCACAAAUGUAGAGGCCAAUAUCUCGAGUCAAAUAGGACCACAAUGAACGACAAAGAUCUUCCUCAAGAGGAUUUGAAGUCGUUGGAUUCAAGCUAAGGAUCUCCAAUCAAGCGGUGUUUAAAUAUGAGACGCAUCAUUUCUAUAUAUCUCUAGAAUACAUAGGUUAUUAUUUGUAUCAGCAUAAGUUUGUUUGGUUGGUGAGAGUUAUAUACAUCUUGAUUAAUAUUGUUUCAUCCCAAUACAUAUUGUAUGUAGUAUAAAUAUCUUUAAUAAAAAAUAUGAAAGCUUUAAUUUGUUU